GGACACUGUCUCAGCCAUGAGCUCGGUGAAAUUGUAGUAACGGUGAAGAUGCCGUUUACCCGCUGUGGGACGAAAAGACCCCGUGAACCUUUACUAUAGCUUAGUAUUGACCUUGGACAAAUAAUGUGUAGGAUAGGUGGGAGACUUCGAAGCCGCGUCGCCAGGCGUGGUGGAGUCACUGUUGAAAUACCACCCUUUAUUUGUUUAGGGCCUAACGUCUAGCGACGGACAGUGCUUGGUGGGUAGUUUGACUGGGGUGGUCGCCUCCAAAAGAGUAACGGAGGCUUCUAAAGGUUCCCUCAAUACGGUUGGCAAUCGUGUGUAGAGUGCAAUGGCAUAAGGGAGCUUGACUGAGAGACCUACAAGUCGAUCAGGUACGAAAGUAGAGCAUAGUGAUCCGGUGGUUCCGCAUGGAAGGGCCAUCGCUCAAAGGAUAAAAGGUACGCCGGGGAUAACAGGCUGAUCUCCCCCAAGAG
Molecule: ribosomal RNA, 476 nt
Filed under: Alexandrium margalefii
Lineage: Eukaryota; Dinophyceae; Gonyaulacales; Pyrocystaceae
Description: partial Bacterial large subunit ribosomal RNA
Rfam family: Bacterial large subunit ribosomal RNA
Source: RNAcentral